GCCCGGGUGGCGGAAUUGGUAGACGCAAGGGACUUAAAAUCCCUUGGGCAUCCUUGCCCGUGCGGGUUCGAGUCCCGCCCCGGGUA
This 86-nucleotide transfer RNA is filed under the name Calditrichota bacterium. RNAcentral describes it as "Calditrichaeota bacterium tRNA-Leu". It matches the Rfam family "tRNA". Rfam says of the family: Transfer RNA (tRNA) molecules are approximately 80 nucleotides in length. Their secondary structure includes four short double-helical elements and three loops (D, anti-codon, and T loops). The record is from RNAcentral. Lineage: Bacteria; Pseudomonadati; Calditrichota.